This 253-nucleotide ribosomal RNA is filed under the name uncultured bacterium. RNAcentral describes it as "partial 16S ribosomal RNA". It matches the Rfam family "Bacterial small subunit ribosomal RNA", at positions 524 to 776 of the family's 1533-position model. The record is from RNAcentral.
UACAGAGGUCUCAAGCGUUGUUCGGAUUCAUUGGGCGUAAAGGGUGUGUAGGUGGCGCCGUAAGUCGGGUGUGAAAUUUCGGAGCUUAACUCCGAAACUGCAUUCGAUACUGCGGUGCUUGAGGACUGGAGAGGAGACUGGAAUUCAUGGUGUAGCAGUGAAAUGCGUAGAGAUCUGGAGGAACACCCGUGGCGAAGGCGGCUCCCUGGUCCGAUUCUGACGCUGAGACGCGAAAGCGCGGGGAGCGAACGGG